Molecule: long non-coding RNA, 795 nt
Filed under: Homo sapiens (human)
Lineage: Eukaryota; Metazoa; Chordata; Mammalia; Primates; Hominidae
Description: HSALNT0209731
Source: RNAcentral
AUCAGAGCAUGCCUAAGAGGACAGGGGAAAAGCAGGCGCUGAGACCACCAGCGGCCUGAAGGGAGAUGUUCACAUGGAUCGAAUACACUCACUGGAGGGAGCACUUUGUGACAGCAGAAAGAACACCAAUCCCGGGCAGGAGACCAAAGAUCUAAGUCAAACACAACAAGAGAGCAGUACAUUGGGGCCAGCCACUCACCAUCAGCCUUGAUUUCCUCAUCAGUCAAACAAAGGGUGGUCGCUAAUGAACGCUUCUAGUUUUCACGUUCUGCGUCAGUGGUUCUUGUUCAGACCUCGAGGAAUCUGGAAGAGACCAUGGAGAGACGGCUGGUCACCUGCCAGGCUAAGGGAAUGAGCAACACCCGAAGUGCCAGAAACAGCUCCUGCAGAAAAUGUGGCCACACCGACCUCCAAGUCUCUGUCCUCCAGGCCAAAAUACAGAAGGCUUGAAACACCGUGGAUAAUGGCUGGGCAGAGAACAACGAACCGGACUGUCUUUCUCUCACAAGUGUUUAUGGAAGUCUGGCAGUCCGUCUUUAAGUAAAUAGAUUUGUUUUAAUGGAGCAAUCUAUCAAAUAAGCAGGGCUGCUGAGAAGGGGGGAAGGAAGAUACAGUGCUGCUCCCUCGCCCUUGGGAGCCAUUUCUUUAAGGAUAACAAAUGCGAGUGAGGUAGUGAUACUCAAAGCAGGAAAAAUAAUAGCCUGUGGCUUAGGAUGGUCUCAUCUAAACUCAACGUGUGGAUGGGUUUUGUGUGUUUAAACAGGCAGCUCUGCAUCUCAAAAACACGGAAGAAGG